This 497-nucleotide ribosomal RNA is filed under the name uncultured bacterium. RNAcentral's name for it is "partial 16S ribosomal RNA". It matches the Rfam family "Bacterial small subunit ribosomal RNA", at positions 28 to 507 of the family's 1533-position model. The record is from RNAcentral.
GAUGAACGCUGGCGGCGUGCCUAAUACAUGCAAGUCGAGCGAACAGACGAGGAGCUUGCUCCUCUGACGUUAGCGGCGGACGGGUGAGUAACACGUGGAUAACCUACCUAUAAGACUGGGAUAACCUCGGGAAACCGGAGCUAAUACCGGAUAAUAUAUUGAACCGCAUGGUUCAAUAGUGAAAGACGGUUUUGCUGUCACUUAUAGAUGGAUCCGCGCCGCAUUAGCUAGUUGGUAAGGUAACGGCUUACCAAGGCAACGAUGCGUAGCCGACCUGAGAGGGUGAUCGGCCACACUGGAACGGAGACACGGUCCAGACUCCUACGGGAGGCAGCAGUAGGGAAUCUUCCGCAAUGGGCGAAAGCCUGACGGAGCAACGCCGCGUGAGUGAUGAAGGUCUUCGGAUCGUAAAACUCUGUUAUUAGGGAAGAACAAAUGUGGAAGUAAAUAUGCACGUCUUGACGGUACCUAAUCAGAAAGCCACGGCUAACUACGUG